Molecule: ribosomal RNA, 429 nt
Filed under: Gemmatimonadota bacterium
Lineage: Bacteria; Pseudomonadati; Gemmatimonadota
Description: Gemmatimonadetes bacterium partial 16S ribosomal RNA
Rfam family: Bacterial small subunit ribosomal RNA
Source: RNAcentral
UAGGGAAUCUUCGGCAAUGGACGAAAGUCUGACCGAGCAACGCCGCGUGAGUGAAGAAGGUUUUCGGAUCGUAAAACUCUGUUGUUAGAGAAGAACAAGGACGUUAGUAACUGAACGUCCCCUGACGGUAUCUAACCAGAAAGCCACGGCUAACUACGUGCCAGCAGCCGCGGUAAUACGUAGGUGGCAAGCGUUGUCCGGAUUUAUUGGGCGUAAAGCGAGCGCAGGCGGUUUCUUAAGUCUGAUGUGAAAGCCCCCGGCUCAACCGGGGAGGGUCAUUGGAAACUGGGAGACUUGAGUGCAGAAGAGGAGAGUGGAAUUCCAUGUGUAGCGGUGAAAUGCGUAGAUAUAUGGAGGAACACCAGUGGCGAAGGCUGCUCUCUGGUCUGUAACUGACGCUGAGGCUCGAAAGCGUGGGGAGCAAACAGG